CCUCUGUAAAGAAAUAUAAGAGCGUUUGUUAUAUUUCUUUACGGAGGGAGUAAUAUUCAGUAUAGGUGAUCCAAAAGGAGUAAAUUAAAUAAAACUCCACAUUGUAAAAACAUGUGUCAGCCGUACAUGGUAGAAAAUGUCCUCUUCGCACAUCUGGAUUACUUAAAAAAAACUAAAAUUAGAUUCUAUAAACUUGUGGUUUUCUGUUCAACCCAGCUUAAACAGCUCCUAGGCGACCAAAACUGAAUGAAACUCUAAACUGAAAAAAAAACAUCGAUAAAAAAGAGCUCAUCUAUAGCCUUGGACCUUUGAUCUGGCCCUACCAAGCCAUGGCGACUGGUGUGUAGAUGUGGAACCUAAGGCGACUGCGGAAAGACCCCGCCCACUCGACAACACCUCAUUCCCGUUUCUCCGCUCCCUUCCCAUAAGAUGCCACCGCCUAUAUAAGCAUAAGCAUCUUGCAUCAUGUAGAGAGAUAUAAUGCACCUUUACAUAGUGGAAAGAGGAAAAUUGGCACACAAAACUGGUAAUUGUGCCAUGAAAUACAUAUUUGUGCAUUCAAGCAUCCAGAAAUACACAAAUGCAUCAAAAAAAUACACAACUACAAAAAUAAAACUGCGGGUGCGUUUGGAUAGCUACAAAACAUUCCUUGUGAUAGUUGCAAAAAAAAUACAUAUUUGUGCACUCAAGCAUUCAGAAAUACACAAAUGCAUAAAAAAAACAAAUGCAAAAAUAAAACUGCGGGUGCGUUUGGAUAGCUAUCUCACCUAGCUUAGCUGGGCUAGAAUUAUCUAGCCCGCUCCAGCAAGAGCCGCUAGAAGCAAGGCUAGUUAUUUGGAUAAUGGCUAAUUUUGCUAGUGUGGGAGAGCCACUUCGGCUAGCUUCCAUCGGCAAGGUUUUCUUGGCAGCUGAGGGCUAGAUUGCUUCCAGAAGCUAGUUUUACUUUGAUUACCAAAUGGAUAACCUUGCAUAGCUAAGCUAGAGCUGCCCCUUGCCUCACAUCCAAACACACCCUUGAUAUCUAACUGUCCAUGGUCAACACAUACAAAAUGUACAUACAUACUGGCAGUCUGCCAAAUACAAAAAGAGGAAACGCUAACUAAUAUGUAGAACACAUAUGAAUGAUUAUGAGUUGUGAGUCUAUGGCGAUGUGGACUUUUCUUGAGGGAUUCAUAUAGCUGAAGGGAUUAACUGCCAAAAUAUAACAAAACUGAAGUUCAUGGUGUGCAACCAACUUUCAAAAAUUUGGAAAAUGGCUUCGCGAAGUAAAACCACGCCUGUCAAGUCUCCAUUGACAGCCACUGUUUGGGAAGAAUUAGACUCUGCUAUUAGUCAGUAGGUAUGGUACACAUUCUGUUCAUGCUAACAACAUAUGCUAUUAGACGGUUAAAUCACACACCAUGUUUCUAUUUUCUAAAUAAAAAUAGGAAUUGCUACAGCAGAAAAGAAACACGCAAAUAUCUAGCUAAAUUACCUCACAAAACUAUCAGCAAGGCAGAAGCAAACUCUUGAGUUCCUUCCUGCUCUUGCUUUAUUUCCACUCCGGCAAACACUCCCUGCCACUGAAAUCUUUGCUGAUGUAUGCAAAAAUUAUGCGAAUGGGGUUCCAUUAAGAUAGCCAAAUGAACAAUUAGUCCAGUCAACCAAACAAAUUUUGGAUGGACACUGCUCCAUUCAAAUGUAACCAUGGUAUGAAUGAUCCAUCGAUCCCGAGCGUGUCAAAGACAGAUGGGUACUGACCCAUUCAAAUCCAACCGUGGCAUGAACGAUCCAUCGAUCCCAAGUGUGUCAAAGACACCCAUUUUCUUAUCUCCUGCCAGAAAAGAAGCCCGAGUAAACCGCAUCAACAUAUCAACAAGGGAUCCACUUCUCCAGAAGCGAAACCAUGAACCUACGGGGGUCACGAGAGAGGACU
Molecule: long non-coding RNA, 1915 nt
Filed under: Triticum aestivum (bread wheat)
Lineage: Eukaryota; Viridiplantae; Streptophyta; Magnoliopsida; Poales; Poaceae
Description: long non-coding RNA (TAES_LNC017316)
Source: RNAcentral